RNAcentral lists this microRNA precursor (144 nucleotides) under Gossypium arboreum. Its description in RNAcentral is "MIR7502 microRNA precursor family". It matches the Rfam family "MIR7502 microRNA precursor family". Lineage: Eukaryota; Viridiplantae; Streptophyta; Magnoliopsida; Malvales; Malvaceae. The record is from Rfam by way of RNAcentral.
UAUUAUAAGAUUCAUCAAUUUGUAUCGUUAUAAACUGACGUAGCUGAUAGGAUAACCGAACAAUGACACGUGACAUGCCACAUGUACCUCAUAUUGACGUCUAGUGAUCAAUUUUUAACAGUAGAAAUGAAAAAAAUCUUAAUA